This 465-nucleotide ribosomal RNA is filed under the name uncultured bacterium. RNAcentral's name for it is "partial 16S ribosomal RNA". It matches the Rfam family "Bacterial small subunit ribosomal RNA", at positions 28 to 507 of the family's 1533-position model. The record is from RNAcentral.
GACGAACGCUGGCGGCGUGCUUAACACAUGCAAGUCGAACGGAAAGGCCCUGCUUGCAGGGUACUCGAGUGGCGAACGGGUGAGUAACACGUGGGUGAUCUGCCCUGCACUUCGGGAUAAGCCUGGGAAACUGGGUCUAAUACCGGAUAGGAGCCAUUUUUAGUGUGAUGGUUGGAAAGUUUUUUCGGUGUAGGAUGAGCUCGCGGCCUAUCAGCUUGUUGGUGGGGUAAUGGCCUACCAAGGCGGCGACGGGUAGCCGGCCUGGGAGGGUGGACGGCCACAUUGGGUCUGAGAUACGGCCCAGACUCCUACGGGAGGCAGCGGGGGGGAAUAUUGCACAAUGGGCGCAAGCCUGAUGCAGCGACGCCGCGGGGGGGAUGACGGCCUUCGGGUUGGAAACUCCUUUCGCUAGGGACGAAGCUUUUUGUGACGGUACCUAGAUAAGAAGCACCGGCUAACUACGUG